GGGGUCAUUUUUUUGCCAUGGCAAAUAAAAAGGAAAUUUGCCAUGGUCCAUAAAGUAAAUUUGCCAUAGUCCAUAAACUAAAUUUGCCAUGGCAAAAAAAUUACAAUUUGCCAUGAGUGUUCAAAGUAAAAUUUGCGUUGUAUGUUGAAGUAAAUUUGCCAUGUAUUUAAAAGUAAAAUUGCCAUGGCAAUUAGUGGUCAUUUUUUGCCAUGGCAAAAAAAAAAAUAAAGGUAAAUUUGACAUGGAAAAGUUAAUGUAAAAAAUUGAAUGGCAAUGUAAGUAAAAUUGCCAUUGGCAAUAAAGUAAAAUUUGCCAAGCUACAGAGAAAAAACUUCCAUGAUAUUAAAAAGUAAACUUGUUAUUAAGAUCAAAUUUCCAUGGCAAGAAAGCUUAUUAAAUUUGCCGUGUUAUUUUUUAAAUGGCCGUGGAUUUUGUAAUAAAAAUUGCAAUGUAAGUAAGAAAACUAGCCAUGUUCCAUGUCAACAUAUUAAGAUUUAUGUAUCCAUGAGUGUAGACUUUGUUUCAUGUACAUUUGCGAAAAGUGUGAGAUUUUUUUUACAAAAUCAACUUUGAAGAAAGAUUGGCAACUACUCCAGAAAUAUGCCACAUCAACUUCUCCAACAUGUUGCCAUGACAACUUCUCAUAGCGAUUCUAUCAAUUGCAAUUACUUGUAACAGUUAUGUCAUGGCACCUAAAUACAGAAUUUUUCCAUGGCAACUACUCCAACAUUUUGCCAUGGAAACUACUCAUAUCGAUUCUACUCGGAUAUUACAUGGUAAUUUGAGAAAAAUGAACUAAUCAAAAAAUGCCAUGGAAAUUAUUUACGAAAACAAAAGAUGGUAGCUAUCCAAGAUAUGUAAAAUUGCCAUGUCAAAUUGAUGAUAAUUUGCCAUAGAAAAUGAUGUUGCCAUGGGUAGUUGGGAGAAAAAUCGGUUUGUUGCCAUGUAGCCCUCGGAAAAAGCAUGCUGCCAUCCUUAGAAAUCUACUACAAAAUUGCCAUGAAGGUAAGAAUCAGUAUAGGUUUGUUGCCAUGCGGGCAUGAAUAAAACCUGAAAAGGCAUGCUCCCAAGGUCAUGGGAGGUCGACAUCGGGUCGGGGGCGUGGCGUUGGCCCCGUGUUUGCUGCCCAGAUGAGAAGAUGGCGUCGGGAUCCACCGGAGGCCAUCGGACGUCGGAUCUGGCGCGCGUCCUCCCCUGCCGAGCAGCACCGCUCGCCCGCUCACGCCUCUGUCGGCCGCCGCCCUUCGCGGAGGCUGCACCCUGGUGCCCCCCAUGGCCGCAGCCAUCCCGCAAGGCCGCAACCUUCUUCAAAUCCGGCGACGCGCAGGGCCACAACCGCCGCUCCCACCGACGGAGUCCUUCGUCGAUGUCCCCGCCUGCCCAACGCCGGUCGUCCCCUCCUUCAAAUCCACGCGACGCGCAAGGCCGCCGCCUGGUGCCCAGCCAACGCCGCAUCCCUCCUGCAUCUCUCGCCACCAUCUGCGCACCCCUUAUGCGCCGCCUUCGCCAUCUCCGCCUCCGCCCAGACGUGGCCCCGCGUCCGACGGAAAGGAGCUGCCGCCGUUCCAGGGGAGAGCGCCACCAUCCCUCGCUCCGGCCGCCGGACGCCUUCGCCGCCGUCCCCGCCUGCCCAGCGCUGGCAUCCGGUGGUGUGUGGUGUGCUGUGUGGAUAAGAGAGUGGGGGGAACGGGGGGAGGAGAGCGAGGGAGUGGUUCGGUGACUAUUGGCUUCGCCCCGAACGCGCUCGCUGGUGAUGACGUGGCAAGUGUAGACCGUCAAGAUUCGUGCGACGAUAAGGAGGGGGUUCG
Molecule: ribosomal RNA, 1808 nt
Filed under: Triticum aestivum (bread wheat)
Lineage: Eukaryota; Viridiplantae; Streptophyta; Magnoliopsida; Poales; Poaceae
Description: partial small subunit ribosomal RNA
Source: RNAcentral